Long non-coding RNA from Mauremys reevesii (Reeves's turtle), 442 nucleotides. RefSeq lists it as uncharacterized. The record is from RefSeq and is a predicted model, not a curated record. The transcript has 3 exons. NCBI's taxonomy places the organism in Eukaryota, Metazoa, Chordata, Testudines, Geoemydidae.
CUGGAGGGGUGAGAGGCCUAAUUGAUCAAACCCAGCUGGGUCUUGAUAAAGGAAGGAGCAUAGAGUAGUAGGGGAAGGGCAAGCUGGAGACCCAGGAGACAGGGGUGGAAUGAGAACAUGACCUGGCUGAGUCGUGAGAAGAGGUGGAACACAACAGGUGCUAAAGAUGGAGAUUCUGCUGUGCCAAGAGGGGGCAUGCCUGUGACCAACUUGCCCAUCACUUCCAUGGACUGGAAACAAAAUCCAAAGGAAGAAAAAUUAAAACUUUAGGCAGGACAAUGGGAGGUGUUUGGAUGUGAAUCUGGACUCAGUUUAGGUGUGUAGAUCCAGGGCUGGUUUUGUGUCUGGAUUAAUCGGUAUUGUAAUCUUGAAAGGUGUGUUUGUGGUAGGUUUUGUGUGUCCCCAAAGGGCAAAAAUGUCAUAAUCAACUAAUUAAAUAAGA